This 155-nucleotide ribosomal RNA is filed under the name uncultured bacterium. RNAcentral's name for it is "partial 16S rRNA". It matches the Rfam family "Bacterial small subunit ribosomal RNA", at positions 355 to 507 of the family's 1533-position model. The record is from RNAcentral.
UAAGGAAUAUUGGUCAAUGGGCGAGAGCCUGAACCAGCCAUGCCGCGUGAAGGAAGACGGCCUUAUGGGUUGUAAACUUCUUUUAAGAGGGAAAAAACUGGGCUACGUGUAGCCCAUUGCUUGUACCUUUUGAAUAAGCAUCGGCUAACUCCGUG